GAGCAUGCUCAGUGGGAGGUUUUAAAAUAUUUUCUUUAGGUCAGCUUUAUUUUGCUCAUUUCUUUGGAAAUAUUUCAACAAAAGCCAUCUAAUUAGUCCUUAAUAACAUUGUUCACUAAUGCCCUAGCCAAGGCCCAAGUGUCUGUCAUCUGCCAAGGUGAUGUUUUCACCGUGUUUGCCAAGGGACCACUACUGGGCAAUGCGGACCUCCCUGUUCCCUGCAGCAUAGCAAUAUUAAAAUUAGGCCAAUGAAGAAACCUACAAUGACCUCUAAGUGGGUCAAGUCAAAGAAAGAGGUGCAUGCCUCUUUUCCUUUAAAUCAAAUCAAAAGCAGAACAGGAUUGAGCUUAGUGAGGAAGGCAUAUUGAAAGCCAAGAUGGGCCAAAAGCUAGGUUGCUUGUGCCAAAGAAUUAGCCAAGUUGUGAAUGCAAAGGAGAAAAGUUCUUGAAGGAAAUUAAAAGUGCUACUCCAGUGAACACAUGAAUGAUAAGAAAGCAAAACAGCCUUCUUGAUGAUAUGAGGAAAAUUUGGGCUCGAUAGAAGAUCAAAGCAGCCACAACAUUCCCUUAAGCCAAAGCAUAAUCCAUAGCAGGACCCUAACUCUCUUCAAUUGCAUG
This 617-nucleotide non-coding RNA is filed under the name Pan troglodytes (chimpanzee). Lineage: Eukaryota; Metazoa; Chordata; Mammalia; Primates; Hominidae. The record is from RNAcentral.